This 253-nucleotide ribosomal RNA is filed under the name uncultured bacterium. Its description in RNAcentral is "partial 16S ribosomal RNA". It matches the Rfam family "Bacterial small subunit ribosomal RNA", at positions 524 to 776 of the family's 1533-position model. The record is from RNAcentral.
UACGAAGGGGGCUAGCGUUGUUCGGAAUUACUGGGCGUAAAGCGCACGUAGGCGGAAUGUUAAGUCAGGGGUGAAAUCCCGGGGCUCAACCCCGGAACUGCCUUUGAUACUGGCAUUCUCGAGUCCGGAAGAGGUGAGUGGAAUUCCGAGUGUAGAGGCGAAAUUCGUAGAUAUUCGGAGGAACACCAGUGGCGAAGGCGGCUCACUGGUCCGGUACUGACGCUGAGGUGCGAAAGCGUGGGGAGCAAACAGG